This 253-nucleotide ribosomal RNA is filed under the name uncultured bacterium. RNAcentral's name for it is "partial 16S ribosomal RNA". It matches the Rfam family "Bacterial small subunit ribosomal RNA", at positions 524 to 776 of the family's 1533-position model. The record is from RNAcentral.
UACGUAGGGUGCGAGCGUUAAUCGGAUUUACUGGGCGUAAAGCGUGCGCAGGCGGCCCGUUAAGACAGGUGUGAAAUCCCUGGGCUCAACCUAGGAAUUGCGCUUGUGACUGGCGGGCUCGAGUACGGUAGAGGGGGAUGGAAUUCCGCGUGUAGCAGUGAAAUGCGUUGAUAUGCGGAGGCACACCGAUGGCGAUGGCAAUCCCCUUGACCUGUACUGACGCUCAUGCACGAAAGCGUGGGGAGCAAACAGG